UACUACGCGCGCAGUGACGCGGUUACAGCUCAUAUUUGAAAUCUGGCCUCACGGUCCGAGUUGGGUUUGUAGAGGAUGCUUCGAGCAUGGUCUGGCCUAAGUUCCUUGGAACAGGACGUCAUAGAGGGUGAGAAUCCCGUAUGCGGCCAGGUGCCUACGCUCAUGUGAAGCUCCUUCGACGAGUCGAGUUGUUUGGGAAUGCAGCUCAAAAUGGGUGGUAAAUUUCAUCUAAAGCUAAAUAUUGGCCAGAGACCGAUAGCGCACAAGUAGAGUGAUCGAAAGAUGAAAAGCACUUUGGAAAGAGAGUUAAACAGUACGUGAAAUUGUUGAAAGGGAAGCGCUUGCAACCAGACUUGCGCGCGGCCGAUCAUCCGGUGUUCUCACCGGUGCACUCGGCCGUGCUCAGGCCAGCAUCGGUUUUGGCGGCUGGAUAAAGGCCCUAGGAAUGUAGCUCCUCUCGGGGAGUGUUAUAGCCUAGGGUGCAAUGCAGCCUGCUGGGACCGAGGACCGCGCUUCGGCUAGGAUGCUGGCGUAAUGGUUGUAAGCGGCCCGUCUUGAAACACGGACCAAGGAGUCUAACAUCUAUGCGAGUGUUUGGGUGUCAAACCCAUACGCGUAAUGAAAGUGAACGGAGGUGAGAACCCUUAAGGGUGCAUCAUCGACCGAUCCUGAAGUUUACGGAAGGAUCUGAGUAAGAGCAUAGCUGUUGGGACCCGAAAGAUGGUGAACUAUGCCUGAAUAGGGUGAAGCCAGAGGAAACUCUGGUGGAGGCUCCCACCGGUU
Molecule: ribosomal RNA, 783 nt
Filed under: Pseudogymnoascus sp.
Lineage: Eukaryota; Fungi; Ascomycota; Leotiomycetes; Thelebolales; Thelebolaceae
Description: partial large subunit ribosomal RNA
Rfam family: Eukaryotic large subunit ribosomal RNA
Source: RNAcentral